Molecule: long non-coding RNA, 806 nt
Organism: Equus caballus (horse)
Lineage: Eukaryota; Metazoa; Chordata; Mammalia; Perissodactyla; Equidae
Source: Ensembl
CUUGAACACAAGCACUGUGAUACCCCACAACAGUAGAUCUGAUAACCAAGGCGGCUACUAAGUGACUAACAGUUAAUAUUUUCGGACUGUUGUCGACCAUGGGUAACUGAAACCUCAGGAAAUGAAACUAUGGAUGAGAGAGGACUGCUGUGCAGUGGAAUAUCAUUCAGCCUUUAAAAGAAAGAGAUCCUGCAACAUGUGAAAAUGCGGACAAACCCAUGGACAACUUAGCAUCUGAUUAUGCUAAGUCAAAUAAGCCAGUCACGGAAGGACAAGUACUGCGUGUGAGGUUUAGGCAGAAGGAAAUAGAGCUCAGAGGCAAGGACGCUGGCAGUCAUGGCAAAGAGCACCCCAAGCAGACAGACGGGGCACCUGCACUGUGCUCUCUCCAGACCAGCUUUACUCCGGACCCCUGACAGAAUCCCUGUGAAGUUACCGGCCAGAGACGUCAAUAAUUACAGUGGGACAAAGUAAAGUACCAAGAUGUCUCGUUUAUCCAGGCAGAAAGUUUUCCAGGAGUGACACGAGGGCAUAUCUGUAGACAAGGCGACCUCCGAACCCGAGCGCCGCUCUCUAAAGGCGCAGGGGCCUGAGGACAGCCCCUCGUGUGCACGAGUGCGCCCAGCAGGCUGUCCGUCUCUCCUGGGUGGUCUCCCCACAAGCACUGGCUCGCCUCCUGCCUGCUUCAAGUAAAACGACUUCACCAUUUACUUUUGAACACCAGUUGCUCGAGCUUUCCAACCCUCAAUGCCUCGCUUUUUAUAAUCCAUUGGAGUAUUCUGUUAAUCCCCGCCACCCCGGCCACC